GGUUUGCUGUUGUUGGAGGCUUUUGACUGCCUUCAUGAGGAUGUUCAUUUGUUGCACGAUCGCAGUAAUUUGAGCAUCUGUGGUAACCACGGGGUGUGAAGAACUGGGCUUUGCUACCAGAGGCAAGGGAGGGGCCUCUUCCCGAUGGAAAGAGUGUCUUGCCGAGCCAGUCGUCGUUGAUCGUUGAGCUCUGGUUCUCAUCAUUACAAGUUUCCUUCUUGCCACUAUCUUUCCCCUACCUAGCGCGCCAAUCUGUUGCUACCAAUACCCUCGUCGCCUGUUCGUCAGGAAUGAGCACCUGCAAAAUGAAGUCCGCAC
RNAcentral lists this long non-coding RNA (318 nucleotides) under Elaeis guineensis (African oil palm). RNAcentral describes it as "long non-coding RNA (EGUI_LNC064364)". The record is from RNAcentral. Lineage: Eukaryota; Viridiplantae; Streptophyta; Magnoliopsida; Arecales; Arecaceae.